GAUGAACGCUAGCGGCAGGCCUAACACAUGCAAGUCGAGGGGUAACAGAGAAGCUUGCUUCUGCUGACGACCGGCGCACGGGUGCGUAACGCGUAUGCAACCUACCUCAUACAGGAGAAUAGCCCUUGGAAACGAGGAUUAAUACUCCAUAGUAUCAUUCUUUCGCAUGUUAGAAUGAUUAAAGAAUUUCGGUAUGAGAUGGGCAUGCGUCCCAUUAGCUUGUUGGUGAGGUAACGGCUCACCAAGGCAACGAUGGGUAGGGGGCCUGAGAGGGUGGUCCCCCACACUGGUACUGAGACACGGACCAGACUCCUACGGGAGGCAGCAGUGAGGAAUAUUGGACAAUGGACGAAAGUCUGAUCCAGCUAUGCCGCGUGCAGGAUGACGGCCCUACGGGUUGUAAACUGCUUUUAUACAGGAAGAAACACCCCGACGUGUCGGGGCUUGACGGUACUGUAAGAAUAAGGAUCGGCUAACUCCGUGCCAGCCGCCGCCGUAACAC
RNAcentral lists this ribosomal RNA (502 nucleotides) under uncultured bacterium. Its description in RNAcentral is "bacterial SSU rRNA". It matches the Rfam family "Bacterial small subunit ribosomal RNA", at positions 28 to 526 of the family's 1533-position model. The record is from RNAcentral.